RNAcentral lists this long non-coding RNA (213 nucleotides) under Setaria italica (foxtail millet). RNAcentral describes it as "long non-coding RNA (SITA_LNC004668)". The record is from RNAcentral. Lineage: Eukaryota; Viridiplantae; Streptophyta; Magnoliopsida; Poales; Poaceae.
AACCCCUGGCCUCAGUGUUGAUGAAAGUUGUGGUUGAACCCAACUGAUUAAAGUCAGCCUUACUGCUUUCUGUAUCCACUAGACUCUAAUUCCUGGUAGCUGUGUGUUGCUGUCAGUCUAGGAUGAGAUUUGGUAGGUUCCCAUACUAUUUUCUCUUACAAUUUGAUGGUAUUCUAUGAUGCUGGAAAUCAUAUCCUUGGAGUGACGUUGGUG